Molecule: long non-coding RNA, 582 nt
Organism: Psammomys obesus (fat sand rat)
Lineage: Eukaryota; Metazoa; Chordata; Mammalia; Rodentia; Muridae
Exons: 3
Source: RefSeq, a predicted model, not a curated record
AGUGUCUGUGCGUUCUUUCCUCCAGAUGGACCAGAAACAAAGAUCUCAGGACAGACACUUUAUGUGGGGAGGGUCAUUCAAGGAAACCCCAGUGCAGAAAGAGAAGAGAAGGCAGCCAGUCAGCAGCAAGGGACCACUACCAGCAGCAGUCGCGUGGCCAGUCAGCCCAGAGCCUCCAGGAGACUGCGGAGUAGGAUUGAGUAAGACCCAUCUCAGAUGCCUCCCUACGCCUCACAACCAGGACAGUGUUCCACAGAAGAGAACACAGGUGUGGAACUCAGCUCCCUCUCCAGCACAUGUCUGUCUGCGUGCUGCCAUGCUUCCCCUGUGAUGAUAGAACUCAAACGGAAGGAGCCUGGAGGCAGGAGCUGACACAGGGGCAGUGGAGGGUGCUGUUUACUGACCUGCUGCUGGUGGCCUGUUGCCUGCCUUCUCACAGAACCCAGGACUGCCACUGUGUGGUGGCCCCACCCACAAGGGGCCGGGCCCUUUCCGAUGAAUCACUAAGGAAAUGCUCUUCAAGCUUGCACACAGCCCAACCUCAACUGGUGUUUCUUCUCUCACAUGACCCCUCGCCAGAUA